GUUACUGCGAAGGGGGGACGGAGAAGGCUAUGUUGGCCGGGCGACGGUUGUCCCGGUUUAAGCGUGUAGGCUGGUUUUCCAGGCAAAUCCGGAAAAUCAAGGCUGAGGCGUGAUGACGAGGCACUACGGUGCUGAAGCGACAAAUGCCCUGCUUCCAGGAAAAGCCUCUAAGCAUCAGGUAACAUCAAAUCGUACCCCAAACCGACACAGGUGGUCAGGUAGAGAAUACCAAGGCGCUUGAGAGAACUCGGGUGAAGGAACUAGGCAAAAUGGUGCCGUAACUUCGGGAGAAGGCACGCUGAUAUGUAGGUGAAGCGACUUGCUCGUGGAGCUGAAAUCAGUCGAAGAUACCAGCUGGCUGCAACUGUUUAUUAAAAACACAGCACUGUGCAAACACGAAAGUGGACGUAUACGGUGUGACGCCUGCCCGGUGCCGGAAGGUUAAUUGAUGGGGUUAGCGGUAACGCGAAGCUCUUGAUCGAAGCCCCGGUAAACGGCGGCCGUAACUAUAACGGUCCUAAGGUAGCGAAAUUCCUUGUCGGGUAAGUUCCGACCUGCACGAAUGGCGUAAUGAUGGCCAGGCUGUCUCCACCCGAGACUCAGUGAAAUUGAACUCGCUGUGAAGAUGCAGUGUACCCGCGGCAAGACGGAAAGACCCCGUGAACCUUUACUAUAGCUUGACACUGAACAUUGAGCCUUGAUGUGUAGGAUAGGUGGGAGGCUUUGAAGUGUGGACGCCAGUCUGCAUGGAGCCGACCUUGAAAUACCACCCUUUAAUGUUUGAUGUUCUAACGUGGGCCCCUUACCGGGGUUGCGGACAGUGUCUGGUGGGUAGUUUGACUGGGGCGGUCUCCUCCUAAAGAGUAACGGAGGAGCACGAAGGUUGGCUAAUCCUGGUCGGACAUCAGGAGGUUAGUGCAAUGGCAUAAGCCAGCUUGACUGCGAGCGUGACGGCGCGAGCAGGUGCGAAAGCAGGUCAUAGUGAUCCGGUGGUUCUGAAUGGAAGGGCCAUCGCUCAACGGAUAAAAGGUACUCCGGGGAUAACAGGCUGAUACCGCCCAAGAGUUCAUAUCGACGGCGGUGUUUGGCACCUCGAUGUCGGCUCAUCACAUCCUGGGGCUGAAGUAGGUCCCAAGGGUAUGGCUGUUCGCCAUUUAAAGUGGUACGCGAGCUGGGUUUAGAACGUCGUGAGACAGUUCGGUCCCUAUCUGCCGUGGGCGCUGGAGAACUGAGGGGGGCUGCUCCUAGUACGAGAGGACCGGAGUGGACGCAUCACUGGUGUUCGGGUUGUCAUGCCAAUGGCACUGCCCGGUAGCUAAAUGCGGAAGAGAUAAGUGCUGAAAGCAUCUAAGCACGAAACUUGCCCCGAGAUGAGUUCUCCCUGACUCCUUGAGAGUCCUGAAGGAACGUUGAAGACGACGACGUUGAUAGGCCGGGUGUGUAAGCGCAGCGAUGCGUUGAGCUAACCGGUACUAAUGAACCGUGAGGCUUAACCUUACAACGCCGAAG
RNAcentral lists this ribosomal RNA (1509 nucleotides) under Escherichia coli. Its description in RNAcentral is "partial 23S ribosomal RNA". It matches the Rfam family "Bacterial large subunit ribosomal RNA", at positions 1450 to 2925 of the family's 2925-position model. Lineage: Bacteria; Pseudomonadati; Pseudomonadota; Gammaproteobacteria; Enterobacterales; Enterobacteriaceae. The record is from RNAcentral.